AUUGAACGCUGGCGGCAUGCCUUACACAUGCAAAUCGAACGGUAACGGGCCUUCGGGUGCCGACGAGUGGCGAACGGGUGAGUAAUACAUCGGAACGUGCCCGAUCGUGGGGGAUAACGAGGCGAAAGCUUUGCUAAUACCGCAUACGAUCUACGGAUGAAAGCAGGGGACCGCAAGGCCUUGCGCGGACGGAGCGGCCGAUGGCAGAUUAGGUAGGUGGUGGGGUAAAAGCUUACCAAGCCGACGAUCUGUAGCUGGUCUGAGAGGAUGAUCAGCCACACUGGGACUGAGACACGGCCCAGACUCCUACGGGAGGCAGCAGUGGGGAAUUUUGGACAAUGGGCGCAAGCCUGAUCCAGCCAUGCCGCGUGCAGGAUGAAGGCCUUCGGGUUGUAAACUGAUUUUGUACGGAACGAAAAGCCUUCUUUUAAUACAGGAGGGUCAUGACGGUACCGUAAGAAUAAGCACCGGCUAACUACGUG
RNAcentral lists this ribosomal RNA (482 nucleotides) under uncultured bacterium. Its description in RNAcentral is "partial 16S ribosomal RNA". It matches the Rfam family "Bacterial small subunit ribosomal RNA", at positions 30 to 507 of the family's 1533-position model. The record is from RNAcentral.